AAACCUCGGGUUGCAGUCUGAGUAAUCAGACUGAUGGCUGGUGACUUUUUGGUCACCAGCCU
Molecule: non-coding RNA, 62 nt
Organism: Pantoea wallisii
Lineage: Bacteria; Pseudomonadati; Pseudomonadota; Gammaproteobacteria; Enterobacterales; Erwiniaceae
Source: Rfam